AUGUCAGGCAGGAUGAAUUACCUCAUUUUCAAUGUUGUGUUUGCCUCCUGGGCCUGGCUUAUCACUGGUUCCAUUUUGGCCCAAGAUCAAGUUGUGUUUUUUUGUGUGUGUGUGUUUGUUAGUAACGUCACUGCCGCCUAUUCUCAUUACUCCACAUAUAACCACGUCACUUUGCGUUUCUGUCGUGCACAGCACCGCACCGACCGGACUACGACACUGCGACAUGCUGCUCCACCAUCCACCCCAGUGCCUGCAUCAGAUGUCGAUGCAACACCGGUCGAUGUGGCAUUGCAGCCCGUCCUUGUGGAGCAGACUGAGCUACUCCGCGCUGAGCUUCGCGACUACAUUGCGCGAGUUGGGAGUGUUUUGGCAAGUGCAGAGGCUGCUCUGGCCAAGCUCCAGAUUGUGCCCGUUGUGUCCCUGUUGCCCGAGAUCCACAAUGGUUCUGCCGAUGGAGAAGCAGGCAUGUAUGGAGAUCUCUCCCCUCGUGCUACAUCCUGCCUGUCAUCGCUGCAUGUCAUGUCGAUUGUUUCCGAGAGUGAAACCGUUGUUGAGGUCGUUGCUCCGGUGCUGCAGAUUAUGCCUGAGCUGCAAAAGCUUUGUGAGGAGCCCACUUCGCGUAUUUCGAUGGUGCUUCCUAAGGAGAUGGAGUCACUUGGAGGGGCCUUGGCGAUGCCGACUACGACCUCACCUCCGUCGUUGGAGCCCAAUCAGCUGAUCACCUUUGUGAACUGUGGGGGUUUGGAUGCUGCUAUUGUUGUCCCAUCUGUGGCUGUUGGCCAGGUGGCAUCUGGGGGUGCCGAGGUUGAUGAGGUAGGUGCUUUGGCACCUAAUUCUGAGGCGUUGAAGACCAUCAGAUCGCUCAUCUUUGACCGUGAAAGUAUGAUGGCACGUAUUGAUGAGGUGGUCUUUGCGAAAAAGCUUUGCCGCUUGCUUGCUGGUUUGGAGGCAGCUAGCCCGGGGUCUGGCAAGGCGAUUGCCGGCCUCCUAGCAGAGGAGGUUUCUACGGAAAAAAUCAAAAAGGUAAAGAAGGCUCUCAGGAGCAUAGGCAAGAAGAAUGGUGUCAUUGGUAAGGCGUCCGCGGCUGCUUAA
Molecule: ribosomal RNA, 1092 nt
Filed under: Triticum aestivum (bread wheat)
Lineage: Eukaryota; Viridiplantae; Streptophyta; Magnoliopsida; Poales; Poaceae
Description: partial small subunit ribosomal RNA
Source: RNAcentral